This 4985-nucleotide long non-coding RNA is filed under the name Sus scrofa (pig). RNAcentral describes it as "lncRNA (ENSSSCG00000052502.1)". Lineage: Eukaryota; Metazoa; Chordata; Mammalia; Artiodactyla; Suidae. The record is from RNAcentral.
CCGGGUAGAGAACUAUCGCCUUUGAGGUCCUUUGAAACUCCCCAAGGACCGGUAGCAUCAGUUACAAGUGUAUUAAAAACAAUGCUUUCCUCCUGCAAGGUGCAGGAGCAUCUUUAUUGGAAACUAAUUUCAGCCUAAAAAAGCACCAGGGAGCAGGAGGCUAUCCUGCUGGAGCGAUAACAAACACUGAAUGACCUUGAAAAGGAAAUAGACUUGGCUCUCCAAAGCGCCCAAAGGGAGGGGCAGGGACGAGGUCUGUUUUUUGCUUGUUUUUGAUUCUUUUGUUUGGUCUCCAUCCUCCUCCUUUUCCCUUUAGGAGUAAAUAUUAUCAGUGGAGAAGGGAUGUAUUGAGAGUAAAGUGCGUACAGUAAGUCAGUGGGAAGUAUGCUUUUGUCUUCAUUCCCAGGGAAGCACUAGGAGGGAGAGAAGAAAGGAGGGGAGGGUGAGGGAGGCUGGGAGGGAAGGUGGCACAGGAGAAGCGCGCGUGCGGAUGGAGUCCCGGGGUGCCUGAGGUCUCUCCCCAUUGUGGAAAGUGUGCAUCUCUCCUGAUCCUAAAACUUCUCCGUGCCCGUUGUUUCUUUCAGAGCCCCUUCCGUGUGUCCUUUAAUAUUCUCUAUAACCCUGGCAUUAGCGGAGCAGGCAAGGAAAGCUGGGGAGUCAAAUCGCUUCCUCCGAGUCGAACACACGUUUGAUGUGCUCUGGGACAGUCCUCUUUUCUCCAGACUGGAGCCUUACAGGCCAGGGCUUUAACGGACCACGUCCCACUUGCGACUGGGAAGCGCUCUUCUCCGCUCUGUAUGACCUCUUCGUGCCACAGCUGUAACUGUCACCCUGGCACACACGUCACGUCACGGAGGUGGCACUCGGUGCUGGUGGGUCUGAGUGGGAGAGUCCGACCGCCUGCUCCCCUCUCUGGUUCUGCGUGGUGUCUGCACCGACCUCAGGGGAGGAAGGGGGAUUCGAGGGAGGAGGUGAGGAGAGGCAGCCAGAAGCAGCUGGGGCGGAGGAGGAAGAACAGACCGAGUGGCGCCUGUCUCCUCACGCCUGCCCCAGUGGAAGGUGUGUUUUGGGGUCAUAGUUUUAAUUCCAUAAAGCAACCCCAACGUCUGGCUUCACCGUGCGGACCAUCCUGUCCUAGUAUCUUCUCUUGCAGCGCCGUCUAUCACUCUUCUUUAAUUGUUCUGUUCCUUUGCCUAUUGAAGAAGCAAUAUGAAAUCUACCCUGAAGAACAUUUUGAAAAAAAAUUAAACUCUAGCACAAUUAUUCUCAUUUAUAUAUAAAUACAUCCCACUAGAAGCUGCUUCAGCCGGCCUCGUCAUGGUCUACAACGAUCAGGUGCUCGAGCAAGAGUUUAGCGGAAAGUGAAGCAGGAGACCCGAGGGGCAUGGCAGGACAUGUGAGUUGAAAUGGUCCUUAUGAUUCUGAUACUCCUCCCUCGGCUAAGAACCAGGGCACAACGGGUGAAUGGCUCUCAAACCUUUGUAAAUGGCAACCCAGAGUCAAAACAGACAAAUGGACAAGAAUUCACAUUGCUGUGUUCUAACGAAGGGACAAGUGUGUGUCUACAAACAACCAAGAGACAGGGGUCAGCCUCUGUGGUGUGGGCCGUGGUUUCUAACCGUGGCAGAGGCCACAACCGUCUGACUCCAGGCCUGUGGGGUAGUGUGAGCUGUUCGUAGGGUUGCCCUUGCCAGAUCGCAAGGCCAGUGUCCCAGCUGAGGGACUGAGUCUGGUCCAGUCUGUUUCCUGAGGCACUCAGACCUGCUUGUUCUCAUGAGAUCAGAGGCUUGCCUAGAAUCAGGAUGGCCUCCCCUUUUCCAGGAUUGCAGUCCAGUUCUUCCAGAAAGCAGUCACAUCCUCCUCAAAGUGCUGGAAAAAGGUUAACAUACCAAGCCAUGCCCACUCUUGCUUCUAACCCUGACUGCAUAAUAAGUAUGAUCACCUCCCUCUUAAGUGGCCAGCAGAGGUGUUCUGACGCCAGGCCAGUGCUUCGGAGGGCCAGAGUUGCUUGCCUUGGGGGAGCAAACCCACGUUUUUCUUCUCACGGAUCUGGCCAUUUAGUUGUAUUAUCCUUGCCUGGCUGGGGUUGCUACCAUUACUCACUUACUGUGAAUCACUGGGUGAUGAAACAGCAAAACAUCCUGAAACCACGUAGGUUUGGUCCUGCACCUCUCUGUCUCCACUGCGCAGCAGCAGUCCUAGCUUGUUGUGAAAGCCGGUGUAGACUACCUCCGCCAGAACAAUAAUCCCUUUCUCUGCCUGCCAGCUCACCACCAGCAUAUGGAACCCAGAAUGAUCAAAAUAAUUAGAAGUUUCCAUUUCAAUGGACCCUUCCUGGGACUCCAAGCAGAAGGAACAUUCCCGGGAACCAAAAUCUCUAAGCAAACAGUACCUAAGCUUUAUGGGCAAGAAACACAAAAAGCGGGACAAAAAUGAUGACAUGGAGCCAAUCCUAUUUCAGUUUCUUGGUUCUUACAUGUUUUAGUGUUCAGUGUAUAUUGGUCACUAGAAACAUGCGUAAACCAAAUCCUGAAGGCCCGCACGCUCUCUGGCAGCAUGGUGCCCCUGAACCAGGGUCUUAGCUGGGACUUUACUAGGCCGUCCCACCAUUCUGUCAUCGCGGCGCCUUCUGGACGAUGGACCGUGGGUAGGGCAGGGGAUUCCAUGGUCUCUUAUCCCUGAGCCCACUAAUCUCUUGGUCCAAGCGAUUGUUGUGAGAUACGAUGUCGAGUGAUCAGGUUUUGCACAGGCUUUCGGAUGGCAGCUGUGGGGAAGGCGCUGUGGACAGGAGAGGCAGACUCAUCUCUGAGCGUCACUGAUUCCAGCGAAGACAAGUCUCUCCCUUUGCUAGUGCAGGAGCUCUUACACAGUUGACCUGACAGGUGGUUGGCCUGUGUCCCCAGGGAGUGAUGCCAUAUGGGACUUAGCAGUGGUCUCUGUGAUGGAGGGUUGGAUUUUCAGUAACAUUCAAUAAUAACAACUGAACAUACUUCCAGCCAGUUCUCCCUCCAUAUAAAAUGGCAAUUAAAUGCAGUUCUCACAACUCUGAUGAACGGGAAAACGGGAGAAUUUCCUUUCCCUUGGCCUUUGGGCCGCCUCUCUGUGAAGUUUUAAUGAAACCGUCGUCCAUUUCCAGCUCGAGCAGACACAGGGUGCCUAAUCGUGAACCAGGCUCUCAUCUGUCGCAGAAACAUUGGAUGAAAACACAGGUAUCAGCUGCGGAAGAGGUACGACAACAGCAGAGGUAGGAGAAGUGUGACUGUGGCCUUGCACCUGAUUACACAAAUUGCUUAUGACGUCUGGAAGUGCCUAGGUUCAAUCCUGAGUUAUUAGUUCCACUGUGUAAAGGAUUUCUGCUAUGACUGGGUGAAUCUGGUAACAUCCAGUCAUGAUGGGCAGCUGUUUUUUCAUAAUUUUGGCGAUUCCAUUUCCAGGUGCUUAAGUUCUAUUUAAAUCCAUCAGCAAGGCGCAAACUGUUUACGAAAUGGAGAAUUUUCUGCCACGGCAGGCUGUGCCUUCCUCUAGAACUCUUUUCGUCUGUACUGCAGUUUUCCUCUUGAACUUGCUAGAGAUUUCAGCUUACUUCCUAUUUAUUACGGAUUCCACCAGCUUGCUGUCUGUGCUAGAUCCCAUGGUCUGAACGACAAGGAAGCUUGCCACAAAGCUUGCCCAAAAUGAAAAGCCCUCUUUUGCUCUGGGCCUCAUUUGAAACUGGGUGCCUUUCAAGUGAUGCAGUAAAAGAAUGUGAUCCGUUUCCCCGGGUGUGACAUACGCUGCCAUUAAAAGUCCAAGAAGCCCACUGAGCCCUGGUGUGUGUUUAUUAGGGUAAUGCUGAUCAAGAGCUUAGUAUUAGGGGGCCUGGUCCUGUGGUGUCAUCCCUGUCAGCUCCAGCCUGAAGAAGCAAAGCUACCAUAGAUGUCCUCAGUCCUUCCCAGUGUGCCUGACCGAUGGCUCACUGCUCUGGAUAGUUUUUUGUUUGAUUUUUACACGACACUUGAUGUCAUCAAAAGCAGUAGGCCCCCCGCCCCAUUCCUUAUAAUAAUUAUUUCCCCUAAACUGAACUCAGGUAAUCUGACCCCAGAGGAGGGUUCUUAACUUCUUUCCCAGUUAACAUAAUCACUUUAGGACUAACAUAAUCUUAAAGUAAUCGCUAAUCUGCUAAUCGCUGAAGGAUCACUUUAGGAAUUGAUGGGUUUUGUAGAUAAGAAGGAAGGGGGGGAACAGCCUGGUUUGGAGGCAUCCUAAUGUUACUAGUGCAACUAAUGCAACUCUGAGAAGAAAAACAUAAUAUGUUCAUUUUUGUUUUUAAAUAAAACAUGUUAAAAUUACUUAAAAAUUGUCCCACCCUAAUCCCCUCCAUUUAUCUUGCAGAGCUGGAGUAAUGUUAUUUUCCUAGCACUAUUGUCUGCAUAGUCAGGCUGUACAAGAAAGAUAUAGGGUGAGAUUUGUUCAUUCGUUACUAAAUUUUACUAACUUUAUUUUGCUGCAGAGUGGAAAUUUCAAAUAAAAUUAUCUAAUUUCAAAAUCUGAUUUUUUCAUGAAGUCUAUUUCUUCCAAUGGUAUUUGGUGACUUAAAAUAUGAAAGAAAUAGGCUUUAAGGAUCUCGAAAGUUUUAAAUAGGUCACUGAAUGGAAAUGUCAGCAUGAGGCUAUUUUUUUGUCGGCUGAUGAGGUGUUCAGUAAUAGAUCAUCCUUAUUAGUGAUUUUCUUUGCAGAUUGUUUUCUGUGAAAUAAGACCCCCUCUGAGUGCCCCAAAACAGCCUGUAAUGGCUGCUAAUCACCCAAGUGUCAGCGCUUAUAGCGUCGAUAUAUCUUCCUCACACUGCAUCAGAAGACAGUAACAGUUUCAAGAAAUAGUGCUUAGAACCGCCGUCAAAUACGUUCUCAGUCCCAUCUCACUAAAUGCACAUUUCUGUUUAUGACAGGGGAGGGCGGUUGUCCUUAGUUGUGAAGAAAUUCUCAUUCAAAUCUGACUUUCAGCUUUUC